CGGGAUCCUACCUUCUCCUGCUGCAGGCGCGCGGUUCCCAGCGGGCCAGCGGCGGUCAGCCGAGGUCGAGACACCCGCAGGGUGGCGUUAGCGGCCGGUCGUACCACGGCAGCCCCGCCGAUCGGGUUCCUUUGGGAGACUUCGAAUUGUUGGCGACCUGAUGGCCAAAAGAAAGGAAGAAAAUUUUUCCUCUCCUAAAAAUGCCAAAAGGCCAAGACAAGAAGAAUUGGAGGAUUUUGAUAAAGAUGGUGACGAAGACGAAUGUAAAGGUACUUCUACUUUGACUGCAGCAGAAGUUGGAAUAAUUGAGAGUAUUCACCUAAAAAACUUCAUGUGUCAUUCAAUGCUUGGACCCUUUAAGUUUGGUUCUAAUGUCAACUUUGUUGUUGGCAACAAUGGAAGUGGGAAGAGUGCAGUACUCACAGCUCUCAUAGUUGGUCUUGGUGGAAGAGCAGUUGCUACUAAUAGAGGAUCCUCUUUAAAAGGUUUUGUGAAGGAUGGACAGAACUCUGCAGAUAUCUCAAUAACAUUGAGGAACAGAGGAGAUGAUGCCUUUAAAGCCAGUGUGUAUGGUAACUCUAUACUUAUACAGCAACAUAUCAGCAUAGAUGGAAGUCGAUCUUAUAAACUUAAAAGUGCAACAGGCUCCGUGGUUUCCACUAAGAAAGAAGAGCUGAUUGCAAUUCUUGAUCAUUUUAACAUCCAGGUGGAUAAUCCAGUUUCUGUUUUAACACAAGAAAUGAGCAAGCAGUUCUUACAGUCUAAAAAUGAAGGAGACAAAUACAAAUUCUUCAUGAAAGCAACGCAACUUGAACAGAUGAAGGAAGAUUAUUCAUACAUUAUGGAAACAAAAGAAAGAACAAAGGAGCAGAUACAUCAAGGAGAAGAGCGGCUUACUGAACUAAAGCGCCAGUGCGUAGAGAAAGAGGAACGUUUUCAAAGUAUUGCUGGUUUAAGUACAAUGAAGACUAAUUUAGAGUCCUUGAAACAUGAAAUGGCUUGGGCAGUGGUCAAUGAAAUUGAAAAACAAUUGAAUGCUAUCAGAGAUAAUAUCAAAAUUGGAGAAGAUCGUGCUGCUAGACUUGACAGGAAAAUGGAAGAACAGCAGGUCAGACUUAAUGAAGCAGAACAAAAGUACAAGGAUAUUCAAGACAAACUAGAAAAGAUUAGUGAAGAGACAAAUGCACGAGCACCAGAAUGUAUGGCAUUGAAAGCAGAUGUCGUUGCUAAGAAAAGGGCCUAUAAUGAAGCUGAGGUUUUAUAUAACCGAUCCUUAAAUGAAUAUAAAGCAUUAAAGAAAGAUGAUGAGCAGCUUUGUAAACGAAUUGAAGAACUGAAGAAAAGUACUGACCAAUCUUUGGAACCUGAACGGUUGGAAAGACAAAAAAAAAUAUCUUGGUUAAAAGAGAGAGUAAAGGCCUUACGAAAUCAAGAAAAUUCAGUCAAUCAAGAGAUCGAACAGUUUCAGCAAGCCAUAGAAAAGGACAAAGAAGAACAUGGCAAAAUUAAGAGAGAAGAAUCAGAUGUGAAGCAUGCACUGAGCUACAAUCAGAGGCAACUGAAAGAAUUGAAAGAUAGUAAAACUGAUCGACUCAAAAGAUUUGGCCCUAAUGUUCCAGCUCUUCUUGAAGCCAUAGAUGAUGCUUAUAGACAAGGACUUUUUACCUAUAAACCUGUAGGCCCUUUAGGAGCUUGCAUUCAUCUUCGGGACCCGGAACUUGCUUUGGCCAUUGAAUCUUGCUUAAAAGGGCUUCUGCAGGCCUAUUGUUGCCAUAAUCAUGCUGAUGAAAGUGUCCUUCAGGCACUCAUGAAAAGGUUUUAUUUACCAGGGACCUCACGGCCACAGAUAAUAGUUUCUGAGUUUCGGAAUGAGAUAUAUGAUGUAAGACACAGAGCUGCUUAUCAUCCAGAGUUUCCAACAGUUCUGACAGCUUUAGAAAUAGAUAAUGCGGUCGUGGCAAAUAGCCUAAUUGACAUGAGAGGCAUAGAGACAGUGCUACUAAUCAAAAAUAAUUCUGUAGCUCGUGCAAUAAUGCAGUCCCAAAAGCCACCCAAAAAUUGUAGAGAAGCUUUUACUGCUGAGGGUGAUCAAGUUUUUGCAGGACGUUAUUAUUCAUCUGAAUAUACAAGACCUAAGUUCCUAAGCAGAGAUGUGGAUUCUGAAAUAAGUGACUUGGAGAAUGAGGUUGAAAAUAAGAUGGCCCAGAUAUUAAAUCUUCAGCAACAUUUAUCUGACCUUGAAAAAGAUAUUAAACGCAAUGAGGAACUUCUUAAAAGGUGCCAACUACAUUAUAAAGAACUGGAGAUGAAAAUAAGAAAAAGUAAUUCUGAAAUUCGGGAACUUGAGAACAUAGAAGAACACCAGUCUGUAGAUAUUGCAACUUUGGAAGAUGAAGCUCAGGAAAAUAAAAGCAAAAUGAAAAUGGUUGAGAAACAUAUGGAGCAACAAAAAGAAAAUAUGGAGCAUCUUAAAAGUCUGAAAAUAGAAGCAGAAAAUAAGUAUGAUGCAAUUAAAUUAAAAAUUAAUCAACUAUCAGAGCUAGCCGACCCACUUAAGGAUGAAUUAAACCUUGCUGAUUCUGAAGUGGAUAACCAAAAACGAGGGAAACGACAUUAUGAAGAAAAACAAAAAGAACACUUGGAUACCUUAAAUAAAAAGAAACGAGAACUGGAUAUGAAAGAGAAAGAACUACAGGAGAAAAUGUCACAAGCAAGACAGAUCUGCCCGGAGCGUAUAGAAGUAGAAAAAUCUGCAUCAAUUCUGGACAAAGAAAUUAAUCGAUUAAGGCAGAAGAUACAGGCAGAACAUGCUAGUCAUGGAGAUCGAGAGGAAAUAAUGAGGCAGUACCAAGAAGCAAGAGAGACCUAUCUUGAUCUAGAUAAUAAAGUAAGGACUUUAAAAAAGUUUAUUAAAUUAUUGGGAGAAAUCAUGGACCACAGAUUCAAAACAUAUCAACAAUUUAGAAGGUGUUUGACUUUACGAUGCAAAUUGUACUUUGACAACUUACUAUCUCAGCGGGCCUAUUGUGGAAAAAUGAAUUUUGACCACAAGAAUGAAACUCUAAGUAUAUCAUAUGCUUGGCCCACAAGAAAUACUAGAGAACAUCUUCAGAUGAAAGAAAAAUGGAUGGAAACAUGGAAUUGCAGAAGGAACAGAGAGGAAUGCAAAAGGUUCAGCCUGGAGAAGGAAAUAAAGCUGCCUUCAAUGACAUGAGAGCCUUGUCUGGAGGCGAACGUUCUUUCUCCACGGUGUGUUUUAUUCUUUCCCUAUGGUCCAUCGCGGAAUCUCCUUUCAGAUGCCUGGAUGAGUUUGAUGUCUACAUGGAUAUGGUUAAUAGGAGAAUUGCCAUGGACUUGAUACUGAAGAUGGCAGAUUCCCAGCGUUUUAGACAGUUUAUCUUACUUACACCUCAAAGCAUGAGUUCACUUCCAUCAAGUAAACUGAUAAGAAUUCUCCGAAUGUCUGAUCCUGAAAGAGGACAAACUACAUUGCCUUUCAGACCUGUGACUCAAGAAGAGGAAGAUGACCAAAGCUGAUUUGUAAUGUAACAUGCCUUGUCCUGAUGUUGAAGGAUUUGUGAAGGGAAAAAAAUUCUGGACUCUUUGAUGUAAUAAAAUGAGACUGGAGACAUUCUGAAAUGAAAGAAACUCCUUUAUAUAUCCAACCACAAUCAAAUGUAUAAAUAAGCCUAGAAAACCAACUACAACCAGCAAUUUAAGAUUACUAUUACUUUAAGAAAAUCAAUUUCAUAGUAUUGGUUUUAAAUCUUUUUAAUUUUUUUUAUACCAUCUAUUUUUAUAGAUUCUUUUUCAGAAAUAAAAUUUUGUACAUAUAUACAUGUACAUAUCUGUUUAGUUUGGAUUCAUUUCUAUAGCAUUUUGUAAGAAAAUAAAAGUUUGAGCACCUGAUUAUAUUUAGUUUUGCUUUUCCAGAUAUUACAUUCUAUAGUUACCAAAAAUGGAUGAAGGGAGGGAUUUCUCAUUGCAGAGGGUGGGGUGCAAGGGCAGUAAGACACUUGUACGGAGCACUGAAAGUUGGCCAACUUCUACACAUGCCUUUUUCUCAGUCCUUUGUCCACCCUACCAAGAGCUUGUAACCAGUAUAAGAACUGGAUAACAGUUUUUCACUCUGACCUCCAGCAUGCUUGCCUGGUUUAAAAGCCCUCAGUUUGCGGUCCAGGGACUCUUCAGGCUUGUCCUUAGCUGAGAGGACACAGGCUAGAGGGACUGUGCAGACCAGGCUGGGAGAAGGGCUGGAAAAACUGGGAGUGGAGGGUGGAUCCUCAUGGAGCAGGAGAGUAGCUGGUGGCUCCAGGAGCCUGAGGCCAUGCAGUUGAUGGUGAGCUGACAUCAAUUCUAAGACUCAUCCUAAUUUAGGGGUGUUAAAAAGUGUGCUGCUUAGAAUGAUCAAAUAUAGUUAUUGUAAAAAAUUAUAUUUAUGAACUUUUUAUUUUAGAAAACACGAAUUUUAUUGCUCCCCGAAUUCUUUGUUUGAUACUAGGAUUCAUGCUAAACUUUUUAAGAACAUAUUGGAUAUCAAGAAACAUUCCUUACAUUAGUAGCAAUAAAUAUUAGAAUAAAUGUUUAUGAAAUUGAACUAUUUUCAGAAAAAGGGCAGUAUAUUAAGAGCAGGGAUUGUUCUCUAGUUAUUGAGGAAAAUUAGAUUUCGUUUGUGUUUUUGGUGGAAGAAGAAGUUUAAGGCACUUUAGUUCUUAAAUUGAGGUUUGUUGCCAAAUGAGAAGUUCACAAACUUGGGCUUUCUAAUCUGAGAAUUUCCAGGAAGAGGAAAGUGUGUGCUGAAUAUUUUAAACAUUUCUCACUGAUCAUACAAAGUCUGAUUUUUAAAUUUACAUUUAUAAUGCCUUUGUAUUAAAACUAUUUUUAGCAUGUGCUUUUCCAAAUUAAAAAUGAAGUAGAGUAUACCAAAUGCAUAAACUUCCAUUAGCUAAGGAACUAAUGUCUGAAUUUUGUUAUAGUUUUGAAUGUUGUGCUCUUUAAUACAGAACGGGAAACAUAAUCCUCAGGUAUCCCAGCAUCUCUUGUUGAAUUGAAGAUUAUUCAUUGCUUUGGCCUCACAAAGUUUUGGUUUCAACUAUCAUAAGUGAAAAUAUCUUCCUUUAAUGUUCUAAGUAGUGAUAAUAUUAUUAGACUGAAAGAAUAAAAAGAAAUUGUUCUUUUAAAACGUGUAACUUCUAAAAAUAAAACAAUUUAUAUGUA
Molecule: RNA transcript, 5217 nt
Organism: Rhinopithecus roxellana (golden snub-nosed monkey)
Lineage: Eukaryota; Metazoa; Chordata; Mammalia; Primates; Cercopithecidae
Gene: SMC6
Gene name: structural maintenance of chromosomes 6
Exons: 28
Source: RefSeq, a predicted model, not a curated record